Molecule: unclassified non-coding RNA, 220 nt
Filed under: uncultured Tomentella
Lineage: Eukaryota; Fungi; Basidiomycota; Agaricomycetes; Thelephorales; Thelephoraceae
Description: sequence contains ITS2
Source: RNAcentral
ACACCUCAACUCUCAUGGUUUUACCGUGAUGAGCUUGGACUUUGGGGGUCUUGCUGGCCAGUGGUCAGCUCCUCUCAAAUGAAUCAGCUUGCCAGUGUUUGGUGGCAUCACAGGUGUGAUAACUAUCUACGCUUGUGGUUUCCUGCCAGGUGCCCUUCAGUGAUGAAGGGUCGCUGGAGCUUAUAAAUGUCUCUCCCCCAGUGAGGACAACUUCUUGAAU